RNAcentral lists this unclassified non-coding RNA (279 nucleotides) under Glomus sp. RNAcentral's name for it is "partial contains 5.8S ribosomal RNA and internal transcribed spacer 2". The stretch from base 1 to 65 matches the Rfam family "5.8S ribosomal RNA", at positions 84 to 154 of the family's 154-position model. Lineage: Eukaryota; Fungi; Glomeromycota; Glomeromycetes; Glomerales; Glomeraceae. The record is from RNAcentral.
GUGAAUCAUCGAAUCUUUGAACGCAAAUUGCACUCUCCUCGAAGAGUAUGCCUGUUUGAGGGUCAGCCUAUAAAAAAUCGACAUCGUUGCUGUUUCGCGGUGGCGUUCGUCGGAAAUUGGGUCAUCUUACAUCCUUUUGAUUUAAGCGACUUAAAAUUCUCUUUUUGUUCCCUGACCGUUUCUAUGCUCUAUUUCUUUACACGUUUAAGGUAUCGAUUUUUACUAGACGUGUCCAUCAUAUCUGAUCUCGUCCAUACUCUUUCAUUAACUGACCUCUGA